Non-coding RNA from Acanthosepion pharaonis, 111 nucleotides. The record is from the annotation of a GenBank genome assembly. NCBI's taxonomy places the organism in Eukaryota, Metazoa, Mollusca, Cephalopoda, Sepiida, Sepiidae.
UACGGACAUAUCAUGUUAACAUAUCGGUUCCCGUAUGAUCACCGAAAUUAAGUAACGUUGAGCCUGGUCAAUACCUAGAUGAGUGACUGCUUGGGAACACCAGGUGUUAUA